This 488-nucleotide ribosomal RNA is filed under the name uncultured bacterium. RNAcentral's name for it is "bacterial SSU rRNA". It matches the Rfam family "Bacterial small subunit ribosomal RNA", at positions 29 to 511 of the family's 1533-position model. The record is from RNAcentral.
AACGAACGCUGGCGGCGCGCCUAAUACAUGCAAGUCGAGCGAGAAGGUGUAGCAAUACACUUGUAAAGCGGCGAACGGGUGAGGAAUACAUGGGUAAUCUACCAUCGAGUGGGGAAUAACCAGCCGAAAGGUUGGCUAAUACCGCGUACGCUUCCGAGUCUUCGGGCUUGGAAGGAAAGCCGCACUGUGAGUGCGGCGCUCUUUGAUGAGCUCAUGUCCUAUCAGCUUGUUGGUAGGGUAACGGCCUACCAAGGCUUUGACGGGUAGCUGGUCUGAGAGGACGAUCAGCCACACUGGCACUGCGACACGGGCCAGACUCCUACGGGAGGCAGCAGUAAGGAAUAUUGCGCAAUGGGCGAAAGCCUGACGCAGCGACGCCGCGUGGGGGAUGAAGGUCUUCGGAUUGUAAACCCCUUUCGGGAGGGAGAUGGAGCGAGCAAUCGUUCGGACGGUACCUCCAGAAGCAGCCACGGCCAACUUCGUGCCAG